Molecule: ribosomal RNA, 469 nt
Filed under: Streptococcus sp. HMSC061E03
Lineage: Bacteria; Bacillati; Bacillota; Bacilli; Lactobacillales; Streptococcaceae
Description: bacterial SSU rRNA
Rfam family: Bacterial small subunit ribosomal RNA
Source: RNAcentral
ACACGGCCCAGACUCCUACGGGAGGCAGCAGUAGGGAAUCUUCGGCAAUGGGGGCAACCCUGACCGAGCAACGCCGCGUGAGUGAAGAAGGUUUUCGGAUCGUAAAGCUCUGUUGUAAGAGAAGAACGAGUGUGAGAGUGGAAAGUUCACACUGUGACGGUAACUUACCAGAAAGGGACGGCUAACUACGUGCCAGCAGCCGCGGUAAUACGUAGGUCCCGAGCGUUAUCCGGAUUUAUUGGGCGUAAAGCGAGCGCAGGCGGUUAGAUAAGUCUGAAGUUAAAGGCUGUGGCUUAACCAUAGUACGCUUUGGAAACUGUUUAACUUGAGUGCAGAAGGGGAGAGUGGAAUUCCAUGUGUAGCGGUGAAAUGCGUAGAUAUAUGGAGGAACACCGGUGGCGAAAGCGGCUCUCUGGUCUGUAACUGACGCUGAGGCUCGAAAGCGUGGGGAGCAAACAGGAUUAGAUAC